Molecule: transfer RNA, 72 nt
Rfam family: tRNA
About the family: Transfer RNA (tRNA) molecules are approximately 80 nucleotides in length.
Source: Rfam
UCCUCAGUAGCUCAGCGGCAGAGCCAUCGACUGUUAAUCGAUUGGUCGUAGGUUCAAAUCCUACCUGGGGAG